RNAcentral lists this ribosomal RNA (856 nucleotides) under uncultured bacterium. RNAcentral's name for it is "bacterial SSU rRNA". It matches the Rfam family "Bacterial small subunit ribosomal RNA", at positions 28 to 922 of the family's 1533-position model. The record is from RNAcentral.
GACGAACGCUGGCGGCGUGCCUAACACAUGCAAGUCGAACGGGGCCGGGGGCAACUCCGGUUCAGUGGCGGACGGGUGCGUAACACAUGAGGAACAUGACUUUCGGUGGGGGAUAGCCGGCCCAACGGCCGGGUAAUACCGCGUACGACCGCUCGGGGACAUCCCCGGUUGGUGAAAGCACAAUGCACCGAAAGAGUGCCUCACGGCCUAUCAUCUAAUUGGUGGGGUAAUGGCCCACCAAGGCGACGACGGGUAGCUGGUCUGAAGGAUGGCCAGACACAUUGGGACUGAGACACUGACCAACUCCUACAGGAGGCAGCAAUGGGGAAUAUUGCACAAUGGGCGAAAGCCUGACACACCGACCCCGCGUGUGGGAUGACGGCCUUAAGGUUGUAAACCACUGUCGGGAGGGACGAAUGCCCCACAAGGGGAGUGACGGUACCUCCAAAGGAAGCACCGGCUAACUCCAUGCCAACAGCCUCAGUAAUACCGAGGGUGCGAGCGUUGUCCGGAAUCACUGGGCGUAAAGGGCGCGUAUGCGGCCUGAUAACUAGGGGGUGAAAUCCUGCGGCUAAUGCGCAAGGCUGCGUUUUAAACUGUGAAGUGCAAUCACACUGAGCACGUGGAAUUCCCAGAGUAGUUGGAAUGCGUAGAGAUCGGGAAGAACAUCUGGCGAAGCGGCCUGCUGGGCUGUUGCUGACGCUGAGGCGCGACAGCGUGGGGAGCAAACAGGAUUAGAUACCCUGUAGUCCACGCCGUAAACGAUGGGCACUAGCGUCGGGGGAGCGACCCUCCCCGGUGCCUCCUCCAUGCCCCCGGGAGUAGCCCCAGGCUAACUCAAGAUUGACGGGGGCCC